RNAcentral lists this ribosomal RNA (689 nucleotides) under uncultured bacterium. RNAcentral describes it as "bacterial SSU rRNA". It matches the Rfam family "Bacterial small subunit ribosomal RNA", at positions 97 to 796 of the family's 1533-position model. The record is from RNAcentral.
GGCGAAAGGGAGAGGAAUACGUAGAAAUCUACCCUCGGGACGGGGAUAGCGGCGGGAAACUGCCAGUAAUACCCGAUAACGUCUUUGGACCAAAGGUGUGAUUCCGCCUGAGGAUGAGUCUACGUCCUAUUAGCUAGUUGGCGGGGUAAUGGCCCACCAAGGCAACGAUGGGUAGCGGGUGUGAGAGCAUGACCCGCCUCAUUGGGACUGAGACACUGCCCAGACACCUACGGGUGGCUGCAGUCGAGAAUCUUCGGCAAUGGACGCAAGUCUGACCGAGCGACGCCGCGUGCGGGAUGAAGGCCUUCGGGUUGUAAACCGCUGUCGUAGGGGAACAAAUCUACGGGGGUUCUCCCCUGUAGUUGAGUGAUCCUAGGAGGAAGGAGAGGCUAAGCUCGUGCCAGCAGCCGCGGUAAGACGAGCUCUCCAAACGUUAUUCGGUAUCACUGGGCUUAAAGAGUUCGUAGGCGGUCUGGUAGGUGAGGUGUGAAAUCCCCCGGCUCAACCGGGGAACUGCGCUUCAAACCGCCGGACUUGAGGGAGACAGAGGUGGGCGGAACAGAUGGUGGAGCGGUGAAAUGCGUUGAUAUCAUCUGGAACACCGGUGGCGAAAGCGGCCCACUGGGUCUCAUCUGACGCUGAGGAACGAAAGCUAGGGUAGCGAACGGGAUUAGAUACCCUGGUAGUCC